GGGGACGACAGGCUUCGACGCGGUCGGUUCGCGAGGAUGGUGGCGAGUCGAGGUUCCGGGCGGCCUCGUAAAACACCCGGAAAACCAUAAGUGCGGACUCUCACGAGUACGCCCUCGCCGUUUAGCAACUAGCUAAAUCGUGAGGUCUCGGCCCCCGCUCGCCUGCGGCUGGGAAGACCGGGAUCAGAAAGCAGGCUCACCCGGCGAGGUCCGCCUUCGCCGAACCGGGGAAGUCAAAGAAGGCUGGUCUCCCGCAACCCGGCCGGCGAGGCGCGCGGGAGAUGAGAUCAGAGCGCCGGCUACGCUCGUAGAAGCCAUCCUCACGCGAUCGUGGACGUGGGUUCGAUUCCCACCGUCUCCACUU
RNAcentral lists this transfer-messenger RNA (364 nucleotides) under Solirubrobacteraceae. Its description in RNAcentral is "Palsa-744 sp005885515 Standard tmRNA". It matches the Rfam family "transfer-messenger RNA". Rfam says of the family: Bacterial tmRNA, also known as 10Sa RNA or SsrA, is named for its dual tRNA and mRNA-like properties. RNAcentral also lists the same sequence under 1 other name. The record is from RNAcentral. Lineage: Bacteria; Bacillati; Actinomycetota; Thermoleophilia; Solirubrobacterales.